Molecule: long non-coding RNA, 575 nt
Organism: Mastomys coucha (southern multimammate mouse)
Lineage: Eukaryota; Metazoa; Chordata; Mammalia; Rodentia; Muridae
Exons: 4
Source: RefSeq, a predicted model, not a curated record
CCCUCGCCCCUGCACCCAGCGCCAGUUCCUCAAACCCUAGUCUCCUCCCCCACCCGGGCUCAGGAAGGGGAGAGGCGGAGCGGAGGCAGGGCGGGGUACCCGCGCACCGGACGGGACGCUGGGGUUAGAAUCGCUGCAGCCUGCCGGACAGGGGGUCCUUGGGACAGCUGUCUGCAGCAGCUGUCUGCUAAGCUGGAGAGAAGGGGGGACAGAGCAAGGCUGAUUUACUGGGACACUCAGAGCUUUGAAGGUUGACUCCUACCUUGUCCCUGCCGGUCAUGCCCAAAAGGAAGCUGAAGGUCCGUCGCAGGGAGGAGCCUGUCCAGGUCCCCGAGCCCUCUUCCAGCUGUUUACCACUGCAAAGAGACAGGGAAGAGUAAGUAAACCAAGAGGGCCUGUGAGACAGCAGGCGGCUGACCAGCAAGCCAGAAGAUCUGAAUUUAGUCUCGGGACCCACGUGGCAGGACAGAACUGACUUCCAAAAGCUGUCCUCUGACCUCCACAAGUGUGCCAUGACACCCGACAUCUCACUCUCUCACACACAGUAAAUAAAUAAACUUAAAUUAAAAGAGAAA